Molecule: long non-coding RNA, 227 nt
Filed under: Elaeis guineensis (African oil palm)
Lineage: Eukaryota; Viridiplantae; Streptophyta; Magnoliopsida; Arecales; Arecaceae
Description: long non-coding RNA (EGUI_LNC029426)
Source: RNAcentral
CCCCUUUGAGGAUAGUAGAGAAUGCUCGACAUAAGAUGCCAUCUAUUGCUCCUUGAAGAAGCACUGCUACCUUGAAAGUCUCCAGAUGAUCGAUGGAGUCGGCGAUCCCAUCGUAGGUCUCAACUUAGGGCACCUUAAAGUGCUGAGGGAGUGGCUCCUGCAUUAUCCUCGACAUGAAGGAUGGCUCACUGUUAAACUCUUCAUAGGAUUGCACCGAGGAGGUAUUA